Long non-coding RNA from Callorhinchus milii (elephant shark), 219 nucleotides. RefSeq lists it as uncharacterized. The record is from RefSeq and is a predicted model, not a curated record. NCBI's taxonomy places the organism in Eukaryota, Metazoa, Chordata, Chondrichthyes, Chimaeriformes, Callorhinchidae. The transcript has 3 exons.
AGGAGACGAUCCCAAAACCAGCAACGUCCCAUACGCGACGGUGAGAAAGGUUGAAUGUCCGUUACCUCCAGCGGACGCUGAUAAAAUCCUCACCAAUAUGUCAUUUUCGAACGGGGGCUGUGAAGCUGGUGAGGAAGAUGAUCAAGUCUACGCCAACACGAGCUUCAUUCGGAACUGAAUGGGGUUCUCAAUCAUCUGUCACCCUGACACACACACACU